GAUAGAGUGGCUGAAUAAUAGGCAGUAAAUUGUAAAUUUAUUUAUGGUUUUAAAACCCUUUAUCA
This 65-nucleotide transfer RNA is filed under the name Acanthaspis cincticrus. RNAcentral describes it as "tRNA-Tyr". The record is from RNAcentral. Lineage: Eukaryota; Metazoa; Arthropoda; Insecta; Hemiptera; Reduviidae.